RNAcentral lists this unclassified non-coding RNA (333 nucleotides) under Glossoloma herthae. RNAcentral describes it as "partial external transcribed spacer". Lineage: Eukaryota; Viridiplantae; Streptophyta; Magnoliopsida; Lamiales; Gesneriaceae. The record is from RNAcentral.
AAUGAUGUUUUCCUGUGUUAUAUUCCAUUAAAAGGGGCAUUAAAUUUGUUCAAUUACAUCAGUUCGCUUCUCGUUGAGUCCCCUCGGAUUUUGGCAUGCAGUGAACUCUAAAGCAUUUAUCGUGUUCCACUUUCCUUGCAUGCACGUGCUUGGGUUGUUGGGCCAUGGUCCUUGCUCGAUCUCUCGGUUGCGGAAUACCUUGUGGGCACGAGGCCACUAGGCUUCUAUUCGGCCCUUACCGAGCGUUUAACGCUACGUUCAAACGACGGUUGUGGUCGUCUUGACUAGGUCUUUAUGGCUUAGCUCAUACGAUCCCAACGUCGAUGAGGAAUG